AAUUACCCAAUCCUGACACAGGGAGGUAGUGACAAGAAAUAACAAUACAGGGCUUAAAGUCUUGUAAUUGGAAUGAUGGGAAUCUAAACCCUUCCCAGAGUAUCAAUUGGAGGGCAAGUCUGGUGCCAGCAGCCGCGGUAAUUCCAGCUCCAAUAGCGUAUAUUAAAGUUGUUGCAGUUAAGAAGCUCGUAGUUGAAUUUCUGCCUUGUCAUUAAUCUCGCUUCCGAGCGUUUUUUUAUUGAUUUGGCAUCUUCUGGAUUUGGUGCCUUCGGGUACUAUUUUCCAGGAUUUACUUUGAGAAAACUAGAGUGUUUCAAACAGGCAUUCGCCUUGAAUACUACAGCAUGGAAUAAUGAAGUAGGACUUUGGUUCUAUUUUGUUGGUUAUUGAGCCAGAGUAAUGGUUAAUAGGAGCAGUUGGGGGCAUUCGUAUUUAA
RNAcentral lists this ribosomal RNA (436 nucleotides) under Babesia microti. RNAcentral describes it as "SSU rRNA". It matches the Rfam family "Eukaryotic small subunit ribosomal RNA", at positions 439 to 901 of the family's 1831-position model. Lineage: Eukaryota; Apicomplexa; Aconoidasida; Piroplasmida; Babesiidae. The record is from RNAcentral.